This 334-nucleotide unclassified non-coding RNA is filed under the name soil metagenome. RNAcentral describes it as "partial contains 5.8S ribosomal RNA, internal transcribed spacer 2, and large subunit ribosomal RNA". The stretch from base 1 to 120 matches the Rfam family "5.8S ribosomal RNA", at positions 35 to 154 of the family's 154-position model. The record is from RNAcentral.
GAUGAAGAACGUAGCGAAAUGCGAUACGUGAUGUGAAUUGCAGAAUUCAGUGAAUCAUCGAAUCUUUGAACGCACAUUGCGCCUGCCAGCACUCUGGCAGGCAUGCCUGUUCGAGCGUCAUUUCAACCAUCAAGCCCUAGGCUUGCGUUGGAGCCCUGCGGCUGCCGCAGGCCCCUAAAAGCAGUGGCGGGCUCGCUAUCACACCGAGUGCAGUAGAUUACUCUUCGCUCAGGGCGUGUGGCGGGUUCCAGCCGUGAAACCCCCUACUUCUCAAGGUUGACCUCGGAUCAGGUAGGAAUACCCGCUGAACUUAAGCAUAUCAAUAAGCGGAGGA